Molecule: ribosomal RNA, 254 nt
Filed under: uncultured bacterium
Lineage: Bacteria
Description: partial 16S ribosomal RNA
Rfam family: Bacterial small subunit ribosomal RNA
Source: RNAcentral
UACGGGGGGAGCAAGCGUUGUUCGGAUUUACUGGGCGGAAAGGGCGCGUAGGCGGCCACCGCAAGUCGACUGUGAAAUCUCCGGGCUUAACCCGGAAAGGUCAGCCGAUACUGCGGGGCUAGAGUGCAGAAGGGGCAACUGGAAUUCUCGGUGUAGCGGUGAAAUGCGUAGAUAUCGAGAGGAACACCUGCGGCGAAGGCGGGUCUCUGGGCAAUUCCUGACGCUGAGGCGCGAAAGCGUGGGGAGCAAACGGG